RNAcentral lists this unclassified non-coding RNA (188 nucleotides) under uncultured Cortinarius. RNAcentral describes it as "sequence contains ITS2". The record is from RNAcentral. Lineage: Eukaryota; Fungi; Basidiomycota; Agaricomycetes; Agaricales; Cortinariaceae.
AUAUAUCAACCUUCUCUUGUUUGAGUGGUUUGGAUGUGGGGGUUUGCUGGCCCUUUAAAGGGUUCAGCUUCCCUGAAAUGCAUUAGCAGAACGCAAACAUGUUCAUUGGUGUGAUAACUAUCUACGCUAUUGAAUGUGAGGGAGCAGUUCAGCUUUCUAACAGUCCCUGGACAAAUUUAUCAUCAUUA